This 460-nucleotide ribosomal RNA is filed under the name uncultured bacterium. RNAcentral's name for it is "partial 16S ribosomal RNA". It matches the Rfam family "Bacterial small subunit ribosomal RNA", at positions 338 to 795 of the family's 1533-position model. The record is from RNAcentral.
CCUACGGGAGGCAGCAGUGAGGAAUAUUGGUCAAUGGACGAGAGUCUGAACCAGCAAAGUAGCGUGAAGGAUGACUGCCCUAUGGGUUGUAAACUUCUUUUAUAUGGGAAUAAAAUGUUCCACGUGUGGGAUUUUGUAUGUACCAUAUGAAUAAGGAUCGGCUAACUCCGUGCCAGCAGCCGCGGUAAUACGGAGGAUCCGAGCGUUAUCCGGAUUUAGUGGGUUUAAAGGGAGCGUAGGUGGAUUGUUAAGUCAGUUGUGAAAGUUUGCGGCUCAACCGUAAAAUUGCAGUUGAAACUGGCAGUCUUGAGUACAGUAGAGGUGGGCGGAAUUCGUGGUGUAGCGGUGAAAUGCUUAGAUAUCACGAAGAACUCCGAUGGCGAAGGCAGCUCACUGGACUGCAACUGACACUGAGGCUCGAAAGUGGGGGUAUCAAACAGGAUUAGAUACCCGAGUAGUC